GUACUCACUUCCACAGCAUAUAUGCUAAAAUCAGAGUGAUGCGAGAAGGCUAGCAUAAUCCUUGAAAAGGAUGGCAUGCAAAUUCAUGAGACAUUUCCUUAUUUU
This 105-nucleotide small nuclear RNA is filed under the name Dipodomys ordii (Ord's kangaroo rat). The record is from RNAcentral. Lineage: Eukaryota; Metazoa; Chordata; Mammalia; Rodentia; Heteromyidae.